Molecule: unclassified non-coding RNA, 285 nt
Filed under: fungal sp.
Lineage: Eukaryota; Fungi
Description: partial internal transcribed spacer region
Rfam family: Eukaryotic small subunit ribosomal RNA (bases 1-46)
Source: RNAcentral
AAGUCGUAACAAGGUUUCCGUAGGUGAACCUGCGGAAGGAUCAUUAACAAUGUUUUGUGCAUAACACACACUGGAAAUGGAGGCUUAGAAGCCGCCGUUUCAUUUAACAAGAACCUGGGGUACUUUAAGGUAGAGGGUAAAACCUUUACUUUAGAGCCCUCUAAUAAUCCCCCCUCUUUAUUUUACCAUAUUUUACCCUUAAGACUAUAAGACUGAUAUGACAUGGUUUAAUGUCGAACAUUAAAUCUUAUGAAACAACUCUUAACAAUGGAUAUCUCGGUUCUG